AGAUAAUGCUAAAAUGUUUACAAAUAUCUCUUUGAGUCUCUGCUUUCAGUUUUUCUGGACAUAUACCCAGCAGUGGAAUUCCUGAAUCUAUGAGUACACCCACCCUGUAAUCGAGGCUACUUCAUCACAGCCUCUCUGAUUCGAGGAUUCCAGUGGGAAAGACUCAUGACAAGCAGCAGAAAGUCGAAUUGG
This is a long non-coding RNA of Pan troglodytes (chimpanzee), 192 nucleotides long. RefSeq lists it as uncharacterized. The transcript has 3 exons. The record is from RefSeq and is a predicted model, not a curated record. NCBI's taxonomy places the organism in Eukaryota, Metazoa, Chordata, Mammalia, Primates, Hominidae.